RNAcentral lists this ribosomal RNA (305 nucleotides) under uncultured bacterium. RNAcentral describes it as "bacterial SSU rRNA". It matches the Rfam family "Bacterial small subunit ribosomal RNA", at positions 338 to 641 of the family's 1533-position model. The record is from RNAcentral.
CCUACGGGAGGCAGCAGUGAGGAAUAUUGGUCAAUGGCCGGAAGGCUGAACCAGCCAAGCCGCGUGAGGGAGGAAGGCGCAGAGCGUCGCAGACCUCUUUUGCCGGGGGACAAAAGGCCGGACUCGUCCGGUCCUGAGGGUACCCGGAGAAAAGGCAUCGGCUAACUCCGUGCCAGCAGCCGCGGUAAUACGGAGGAUGCGAGCGUUAUCCGGAUUUAUUGGGUUUAAAGGGUGCGUAGGCGGUCCGUUAAGUCAGCGGUAAAAUUGCGGGGCUCAACCCCGUCGAGCCGUUGAAACUGGCAGAC